AGUGAACGCUGGCGGUAGGCCUAACACAUGCAAGUCGAACGGCAGCACAGUAAGAGCUUGCUCUUACGGGUGGCGAGUGGCGGACGGGUGAGGAGUACAUCGGAAUCUACUUUUUCGUGGGGGAUAACGUAGGGAAACUUACGCUAAUACCGCAUACUACCUACGGGUGAAAGCAGGGGAUCUUCGGACCUUGCGCGAUUGAAUGAGCCGAUGUCGGAUUAGCUAGUUGGCGGGGUAAAGGCCCACCAAGGCGACGAUCCGUAGCUGGUCUGAGAGGAUGAUCAGCCACACUGGAACUGAGACACGGUCCAGACUCCUACGGGAGGCAGCAGUGGGGAAUAUUGGACAAUGGGCGCAAGCCUGAUCCAGCCAUACCGCGUGGGUGAAGAAGGCCUUCGGGUUGUAAAGCCCUUUUGUUGGGAAAGAAAAGCAGCAGGUUAAUACCCCGCUGUUCUGACGGUACCCAAAGAAUAAGCACCGGCUAACUUCGUG
This 492-nucleotide ribosomal RNA is filed under the name uncultured bacterium. Its description in RNAcentral is "partial 16S ribosomal RNA". It matches the Rfam family "Bacterial small subunit ribosomal RNA", at positions 29 to 507 of the family's 1533-position model. The record is from RNAcentral.